RNAcentral lists this ribosomal RNA (1979 nucleotides) under human metagenome. RNAcentral describes it as "bacterial LSU rRNA". It matches the Rfam family "Bacterial large subunit ribosomal RNA", at positions 1 to 1980 of the family's 2925-position model. The record is from RNAcentral.
UAAAAUAAUUAAGGGCACACAAAGGAUGCCUAGGUAGUAAGAGCCGAUGAAGGACGUGGUAAGCUGCGAUAAGCCUAGAUAAGUUGCAAUCGAACGUAAGAGUCUAGGAUUUCCGAAUGGAGCAAUCUAUUAAGAUGGAGUCUUAAUACGAAAGAGGGAACCGCGUGAACUGAAACAUCUAAGUAACGCGAGGAAAAGAAAGUAAAAACGAUACCCAAAGUAGCGGCGAGCGAAAUGGGUCAAGCCUAAACCUUAAAUAUGUCAAGGAUACAGCCGUUGUAUUUAAGGGGUUGUGGGACAGAGUGAUGAAGAACUGUAAGAUAUUCAAUAUAGUGUAUUGAUGAAUUAGAAUUGUCUGGAAAGGUGAACCGCAGAAGGUGAAAGUCCUGUAUAAGUAAAUCCUUACACAUAUAACUUUGCUCCCAAGUAACAUGGAACACGAGGAAUUCUGUGUGAAUCAGUGAGGACCAUAUCUCAUAAGGCUAAAUACUCUUACUAACCGAUAGCGCAUAGUACCGUGAGGGAAAGGUGAAAAGAACCCCUGGAGGGGAGUGAAAUAGAACCUGAAAUUGUGUGCUUACAAGCGGUCAGAGCCAGCAAUGGUGAUGGCGUGCCUUUUGGAGAAUGAUCCUGCGAGUUACGUUAAACGGCGAGGUUAAGUAUAACGGAGCCGAAGGGAAACCAAGUCUUAAUAGGGCGAUUUAGUCGUUUGGCGUAGACGCGAAACCUGGUGAUCUAAACCUGUCCAGGAUGAAGCUGUGGUAAGACACAGUGGAGGUCCUAACCCACCGCCGUUGAAAAGUUGGGGGAUGAGGUAGGUUUAGGGGUGAAAAGCCAAUCGAACCAGGAGAUAGCUCGUUCUCUCCGAAAUGCAUCUAGGUGCAGCCUUGAGUGUUCAAUUAUGGGGGUAGAGCACUGAAUGAUCUAGGGGGCAUAUUGCUUACUGAAAUCAAUCAAACUCCGAAUACCAUAAUUUAUAGCUCAGGAGUGAGACUAUGGGAGUUAACUUCCAUUGUCAAAAGGGAAACAACCCAGACCACCAGCUAAGGUCCCUAAUUAUAACUAAGUGGGAAAGGAGGUGGAGAUUCACAAACAACUAGGAGGUUGGCUUAGAAGCAGCCAUACCUUUAAAGAGUGCGUAAUAGCUCACUAGUCGAGAGUCUCUGCGCCGACAAUGUAACGGGGCUAAGUUAUAAACCGAAGCUGUGGAAUCCUUUUGGAUUGGUAGGAGAGCGUUCUGUAGGCCGUUGAAGAAGAAGGGUAACCGACUUUGGAGGUAUCAGAAGUGAGAAUGCAGGAAUAAGUAGCGAGAAAGGGGGCGAGAAUCCCCCUCGCCGGAAGACCAAGGUUUUCAGGGUAAAGCUUGUCUUCCCUGAGUAAGCCGGGACCUAAGCCCAGGCUAUAAUGCGUAGGCGAAUGGAAAACAGAUUAAUAUUUCUGUGCCAGUCAUUUAUUGUGAUGGAGGGACGCAGAAGGGUAUGCGCGCGGACGAUCGGUUGUGUCCGUAGAAGUAUGUAGGGUGACUUAGUAGGUAAAUCCAUUAAGUUAUAUCUGAGGUAUGAUAUACAGUCGUAAGAUGAAUGCGCAAAUCCCACGCUGCCAAGAAAAGCUUCUAACGUUAAUAUAUGACUGCCCGUACUGUAAACCGACACAGGUGGUCAGGAUGAGAAAUCUAAGGCGGACAGGCUAACUCUCGUUAAGGAACUCUGCAAAAUAACCUCGUAACUUCGGGAGAAGAGGAGCCCUUGAGUGUUAGUAUCCAUGCGAUACAAAGCGCUCGAGGGUCGCAGUGAAGAGGCUCAAGCAACUGUUUAACAAAAACACAGGUCUAUGCUAAGCUGGAAGGCGAUGUAUAUGGGCUGACACCUGCCCAGUGCUGGAAGGUUAAGAGGAGGAGUGAGAGCUCCGAAUUGAAGCCCCAGUGAACGGCGGCCGUAACUAUAACGGUCCUAAGGUAGCGAAAUUCCUUGUCGGGGAAG